Molecule: long non-coding RNA, 450 nt
Organism: Peromyscus eremicus (cactus mouse)
Lineage: Eukaryota; Metazoa; Chordata; Mammalia; Rodentia; Cricetidae
Exons: 3
Source: RefSeq, a predicted model, not a curated record
GGCAGUUAGAAGGUGGCUAUGAGCAGAGAGGGUCACAGUUGAUAUGAAGACAGUUGGAGAGACAGGUUAAGGGAUAGACACUGGUGUCAUGAGCAGAAUAGGGGCAUUGCUCAAGGAUGCUGGUUUGGGAAAGAGAAAAGCCCUGUAUCUGCCAGACUUGGGGCAAGAAGAAGCUGAAGGGGCACCCCAAGGGGCCACAGAGACUACCACGAUGUCGCAAAGUCACUGAAGCCCUGUCUGGGAAGGGAAGGGUUCAAGUAGAGAGGAGUCAUCGUGGCUUUGUGCAUCUGCUGAAUGCCAGGAUCCCAGAACGGAAGCGAUGUCAUCAGGCUUGGGAGCCGGCACCUUGACCCACCUCAUCACCUCGCCAGCCCAGUUAUUUUCUGAAACCAACAAACAUUAGAUUUGAAUAUAUCACCAACCUAUCAAAGAGACGUGCUUCUGAACACA